GGAGGUAUAGUUCAGUGGUAAAGUGUGUGCUUAACAUGCACAAAGUCCUGGGCUUAAUCCCCAGUAUCUCCA
This 72-nucleotide transfer RNA is filed under the name Camelus bactrianus (Bactrian camel). It matches the Rfam family "tRNA". From Rfam's summary of the family: Transfer RNA (tRNA) molecules are approximately 80 nucleotides in length. Their secondary structure includes four short double-helical elements and three loops (D, anti-codon, and T loops). The record is from Rfam by way of RNAcentral. RNAcentral also lists the same sequence under 2 other names. Lineage: Eukaryota; Metazoa; Chordata; Mammalia; Artiodactyla; Camelidae.